RNAcentral lists this ribosomal RNA (220 nucleotides) under uncultured bacterium. Its description in RNAcentral is "partial 16S ribosomal RNA". The stretch from base 118 to 220 matches the Rfam family "Bacterial small subunit ribosomal RNA", at positions 401 to 526 of the family's 1533-position model. The record is from RNAcentral.
GCCUCCCUCCGCCGCCACUCACGACUACCUACCGGACGGACGAGCGAGGUAGGGGUAAGGUUUAGGUCGCGAAGUACGGGGAAACCGGUACGGACGCACGACAACCGACCGCCGGUGGAGGGAGUAGAAAUCCUUGGAUGUAACUCCUUCGAUAGGGAAGAUAAUGACGGUACCUAUAGAAGAAGCCCGGCUAACUUCGUGCCAGCAGCCGCGGUAAUAC